UACGGGGGGGGCAAGCGUUGUUCGGAAUUACUGGGCGUAAAGGGUUUGUAGGUGGCUUGCUAAGUCAGACGUGAAAUCCCUCAGCUUAACUGGGGAACUGCGUCUGAGACUGGCAGGCUUGAGUGCAGGAGAGGAACGCGGAAUUCCAGGUGUAGCGGUGAAAUGCGUAGAUAUCUGGAGGAACACCGGUGGCGAAGGCGGCGUUCUGGACUGCAACUGACACUGAAAAACGAAAGCCAGGGGAGAAAACGGG
This 253-nucleotide ribosomal RNA is filed under the name uncultured bacterium. Its description in RNAcentral is "partial 16S ribosomal RNA". It matches the Rfam family "Bacterial small subunit ribosomal RNA", at positions 524 to 776 of the family's 1533-position model. The record is from RNAcentral.